ACACCGGCAGCUCUAGUGGUAGCCAUUUUUAUUGGGCCUAAAGCGUUCGUAGCCGGUUUGAUAAGUCUCUGGUGAAAUCCUAUAGCUUAACUGUGGGACUUGCUGGAGAUACUAUUAGACUUGAGGUCGGGAGAGGUUAGCGGUACUCCCAGGGUAGGGGUGAAAUCCUGUAAUCCUGGGAGGACCACCUGUGGCGAAGGCGGCUAACUGGAACGAACCUGACGGUGAGGGACGAAAGCCAGGGGCGCGAACCGGAUUAGAUACCCGGGUAGUCCUGGCCGUAAACGAUGUGGACUUGGUGUUGGAAUGGCUUCGAGCUGCUCCAGUGCCGAAGGGAAGCUGUUAAGUCCACCGCCUGGGAAGUACGGUCGCAAGACUGAA
RNAcentral lists this ribosomal RNA (381 nucleotides) under uncultured archaeon. RNAcentral describes it as "bacterial SSU rRNA". It matches the Rfam family "Archaeal small subunit ribosomal RNA", at positions 473 to 853 of the family's 1478-position model. The record is from RNAcentral.